Molecule: ribosomal RNA, 465 nt
Filed under: uncultured Klebsiella sp.
Lineage: Bacteria; Pseudomonadati; Pseudomonadota; Gammaproteobacteria; Enterobacterales; Enterobacteriaceae
Description: bacterial SSU rRNA
Rfam family: Bacterial small subunit ribosomal RNA
Source: RNAcentral
CCUACGGGAGGCAGCAGUGGGGAAUAUUGCACAAUGGGCGCAAGCCUGAUGCAGCCAUGCCGCGUGUGUGAAGAAGGCCUUCGGGUUGUAAAGCACUUUCAGCGGGGAGGAAGGCGUUAAGGUUAAUAACCUUGUCGAUUGACGUUACCCGCAGAAGAAGCACCGGCUAACUCCGUGUCAGCAGCCGCGGUAAUACGGAGGGUGCAAGCGUUAAUCGGAAUUACUGGGCGUAAAGCGCACGCAGGCGGUCUGUCAAGUCGGAUGUGAAAUCCCCGGGCUCAACCUGGGAACUGCAUUCGAAACUGGCAGGCUAGAGUCUUGUAGAGGGGGGUAGAAUUCCAGGUGUAGCGGUGAAAUGCGUAGAGAUCUGGAGGAAUACCGGUGGCGAAGGCCGCCCCCUGGACAAAGACUGACGCUCAGGUGCGAAAGCGUGGGGAGCAAACAGGAUUAGAUACCCUAGUAGUC